UACGUAGGGUGCGAGCGUUAAUCGGAAUUACUGGGCGUAAAGCGUGCGCAGGCGGUUUUGUAAGACAGAUGUGAAAUCCCCGGGCUUAACCUGGGAACUGCAUUUGUGACUGCAAGACUAGAGUGCGGCAGAGGGGGGUAGAAUUCCACGUGUAGCAGUGAAAUGCGUAGAUAUGUGGAGGAAUACCGAUGGCGAAGGCAGCCCCCUGGGUCGACACUGACGCUCAUGCACGAAAGCGUGGGGAGCAAACAGG
RNAcentral lists this ribosomal RNA (253 nucleotides) under uncultured bacterium. RNAcentral's name for it is "partial 16S ribosomal RNA". It matches the Rfam family "Bacterial small subunit ribosomal RNA", at positions 524 to 776 of the family's 1533-position model. The record is from RNAcentral.